Molecule: long non-coding RNA, 308 nt
Filed under: Carica papaya (papaya)
Lineage: Eukaryota; Viridiplantae; Streptophyta; Magnoliopsida; Brassicales; Caricaceae
Description: long non-coding RNA (CPAP_LNC002266)
Source: RNAcentral
UGCAUCAAGUGUCUUGUUAGGCUUUUUAUCUAUGAGGGGUAUCUAUUUUUUCAGACCAGAUAACGUAAGAAAAUCGCUCCCUGUGGAUGAUGGUGUACUUUCUGACGAGAGUGCUGACGCAAAUAUCUGUUAGGGGUCACAUUUGUCUAAGUAUUAUCGUGACUAUAGAAUAUCUGAUAGGACCACUAUGGGGGGUACGGUCGUAAUCAUAAAUCGUAUCAUGGUUUGACAAGCCGAAAAUGUGUCUGAACAAAUUACCGUUAUCUGUAUCUAAUCUGGUCAUUCCACAUGAAUAGUUGAAAAUCUGU